Long non-coding RNA from Rhagoletis zephyria (snowberry fruit fly), 260 nucleotides. RefSeq lists it as uncharacterized. The record is from RefSeq and is a predicted model, not a curated record. NCBI's taxonomy places the organism in Eukaryota, Metazoa, Arthropoda, Insecta, Diptera, Tephritidae.
CACACACAAAUGUUGAGCUAGUACGGGUCACCACAUUGAUUGCAAAAACGACAGAAGGGCGGAUAAACAGGUACGUGUACGUUACAAUAAUUAAAAUGGCGCCCAAUCAUAAAACGAUAGGGAUGACAGCAGCGCCGCAGGUUGGAAUUGGCGCCCGCGAAUGAGCCAGAAGUAGUGUCUUGGGGAAGACCAGGACAAAGAGAAAUAGGAACCGGUGAGGAAAACAGGCAUAGCUCAUUUGUUAUAAAUGAAUUUCGAUC